Molecule: ribosomal RNA, 425 nt
Filed under: uncultured bacterium
Lineage: Bacteria
Description: partial 16S ribosomal RNA
Rfam family: Bacterial small subunit ribosomal RNA
Source: RNAcentral
GUGGGGAAUAUUGGACAAUGGGGGCAACCCUGAUCCAGCCAUGCCGCGUGAAUGAUGAAGGCCUUCGGGUUGUAAAGUUCUUUUGGAGGGGACGAUGAUGACGGUACCCUCAGAAUAAGCUCCGGCUAACUUCGUGCCAGCAGCCGCGGUAAUACGAAGGGAGCUAGCGUUGUUCGGAAUUACUGGGCGUAAAGGGCGCGUAGGCGGUUUGGUUAGUCAGAUGUGAAAGCCCAGGGCUUAACCCUGGAACUGCGUUUGAUACUGCCAAGCUUGAAUUCGGGAGAGGUGAGUGGAAUUCCCAGUGUAGAGGUGAAAUUCGUAGAUAUUGGGAAGAACACCGGUGGCGAAGGCGGCUCACUGGACCGACAUUGACGCUGAGGCGCGAAAGCGUGGGGAGCAAACAGGAUUAGAAACCCCGGUAGUCC